UACGUAGGGGGCGAGCGUUGUCCGGAAUUACUGGGCGUAAAGGGCGUGUAGGCGGUUGGAAAAGUCCGGUGUGAAAUGCUUCAGCUCAACUGGAGCGCUGCGCUGGAAACUUUCCGACUGGAGUUCGGGAGGGGUUACUGGAAUUCCCGGUGUAACGGUGAAAUGUGUAGAUAUCGGGAGGAACACCUGUGGCGAAGGCGGGUAACUGGACCGGAACUGACGCUGAGACGCGAAAGCGUGGGGAGCAAACAGG
RNAcentral lists this ribosomal RNA (253 nucleotides) under uncultured bacterium. Its description in RNAcentral is "partial 16S ribosomal RNA". It matches the Rfam family "Bacterial small subunit ribosomal RNA", at positions 524 to 776 of the family's 1533-position model. The record is from RNAcentral.